This 407-nucleotide ribosomal RNA is filed under the name uncultured bacterium. Its description in RNAcentral is "partial 16S ribosomal RNA". It matches the Rfam family "Bacterial small subunit ribosomal RNA", at positions 28 to 526 of the family's 1533-position model. The record is from RNAcentral.
GACGAACGCUGGCGGCGUGCCUAAUACAUGCAAGUAGGACGCAGUUGCGCACGGGUGAGUAACGCGCAGGUAACCGCCUCCAAGAGGGGGGUAACUAUUGGAAACAAUAGCUAAUACAGCACAGUAGUAGAUGGACCUGCGUUGUAUUAGGUAGUAGGUUGGGGAAUUGACUACCUAGGCGACGAUACAUAGCCGACCUGAGAGGGUGAUCGGUCACAAUUGGAAUGAGACACGGCCCAGACUCCUACGGGAGGCAGCAGUAGGGAAUCUUCGGCAAUGGGGGGAACCUUGACCGAGCAACGCCGGGUUAGUGAAGAAGGUUUUCGGAUCGUAAAGCUCUGUUGUUAAGGAAGCGGUACUUAACCAGAAAGGGACGGCUAACUACGUGCCAGCAGCCGCGGUAAUAC